Molecule: transfer RNA, 73 nt
Organism: Clostridiales bacterium
Lineage: Bacteria; Bacillati; Bacillota; Clostridia; Eubacteriales
Rfam family: tRNA
About the family: Transfer RNA (tRNA) molecules are approximately 80 nucleotides in length. Their secondary structure includes four short double-helical elements and three loops (D, anti-codon, and T loops).
Source: Rfam
CGAGGUGUAGCUCAGGUGGUAGAGUGCCUGCUUUGGGAGCAGGAUGUCGUAGGUUCAAGUCCUGUCACCUCGA